RNAcentral lists this ribosomal RNA (275 nucleotides) under uncultured bacterium. Its description in RNAcentral is "partial 16S ribosomal RNA". It matches the Rfam family "Bacterial small subunit ribosomal RNA", at positions 523 to 797 of the family's 1533-position model. The record is from RNAcentral.
AGACGUAGGGCACAAGCGUUGUCCGGAAUUACUGGGCGUAAAGGGUCCGUAGGCGGUCGGCUAAGUCUUCUGUCAAAGCCCCCGGCUCAACCGGGGAAAGGCAGAGGAUACUGGCUGACUCGAGGCAGCUGGAGGCCACUGGAACUACCCAUGUAGGGGUGAAAUCCGUGGAUAUGGGUAGGAACACCGAAGGCGAAGGCGGGUGGCCAUGGCUGUCCUGACGCUGAGGGACGAAAGCUAGGGGAGCAAACCGGAUUAGAAACCCUAGUAGUCCC